UACGGAGGGUGCAAGCGUUAUCCGGAUUCAUUGGGUUUAAAGGGUCCGUAGGCGGGCUGAUAAGUCAGUGGUGAAAUCCUAUCGCUUAACGAUAGAACUGCCAUUGAUACUGUUAGUCUUGAGUAAGGUAGAAGUAGCUGGAAUGUGUAGUGUAGCGGUGAAAUGCAUAGAUAUUACACAGAACACCGAUUGCGAAGGCAGGUUACUAUGUCUUAACUGACGCUGAUGAACGAAAGCGUGGGUAGCAAACAGG
RNAcentral lists this ribosomal RNA (253 nucleotides) under uncultured bacterium. Its description in RNAcentral is "partial 16S ribosomal RNA". It matches the Rfam family "Bacterial small subunit ribosomal RNA", at positions 524 to 776 of the family's 1533-position model. The record is from RNAcentral.